RNAcentral lists this long non-coding RNA (322 nucleotides) under Ficedula albicollis (Collared flycatcher). RNAcentral's name for it is "lncRNA (ENSFALG00000019862.2)". Lineage: Eukaryota; Metazoa; Chordata; Aves; Passeriformes; Muscicapidae. The record is from RNAcentral.
AGCAACCAACAGUGAGAAGCAAUGUGGAUUUGAGUUAUUUCCCCCCCUGCACUCGCAGGUCCAGGUGGUGUUAGUGAUAAAAGUCUGGCUGCUGGAGUUUGGGGUCAGGCAGCUGAACAGCAGCCCCGUGCACCUGGGUGCUUCAAGCUGACCUUUUAAUCUUCCCUUUUCAUUCCAGGAGCUACGUGGGACAACCAAUGUUUCCCUUGGGUCCUGCCUGCUGCUGGGGCACCCUCAUGAUACAGACCUGGAUUGUGUCUCCCUUCCUUUCACCUCAGAGAAGUGCUGUCUUGUGGGACCUUCUUCCUCUGGGCUCUGGUGG